Molecule: ribosomal RNA, 726 nt
Filed under: Triticum aestivum (bread wheat)
Lineage: Eukaryota; Viridiplantae; Streptophyta; Magnoliopsida; Poales; Poaceae
Description: partial small subunit ribosomal RNA
Source: RNAcentral
AUGUGCGUCCAUUCAUUUGGUUUUCACCUGGAACUCGUCUCUGGGGUUGGUUGGCGCGAGGCACACGGUGCCGUUCCUCACGGUCAGGCUGUAGUCCUCGCCGGCCGCGCACAGAACGCGCACGGUGGACUCGGACGCCAGCGCACGGUGCAGGUUGCCGUACCCGUACCCUGCGCCCGGCGGCGCGUACGCCUCUGCGCCGUGGGCAUGCGGCGGCGGGUAGGCCUCCGCGCCGGCCGGCGGGGGGCGGUAGCCUCCUCCGUACGCAGGCGGAGGCGCGUAGGGAUCCUGGCCGCCCGACGAGCCGCCGCCGUACCCGUACCCGUACCCGCCGUCGGCGCCCCAGGGCAGGAUCUUCCAGCUCUGGUUCUCCCCCUUGCAGAACUCCCAGAGCACGACGCCGGUGCCAUCGUGCACGCCGCCGUGGUCCUUAUCGCCGUGGAGGGCGUCGAAGCUGAGGUUGAGGUUGUUGACCAUGCGGAUGCAGCGGAAGCCCUUGCCGACGUCGUUGCUCUCCGUCCACAGCACCGACUCGUCCAGGUACUCCGGGUUGUAGGGGAUGAGCUUCACGGGGUGGGACUGGCCCAGCGAGUGCUUGACGGCCAGCCCGGUGGCCUUGUUCACCAGCGCGAACGCCGGGUGGCCCUCCGCGUCGCUCACCCGCGUGCUGUGCCUCAUGUCCUUGUACCAGUGCUGCACCCACACACAUGCAUGCACACACAAUGA